RNAcentral lists this ribosomal RNA (404 nucleotides) under uncultured eukaryote. RNAcentral's name for it is "eukaryotic LSU rRNA". It matches the Rfam family "Eukaryotic large subunit ribosomal RNA", at positions 1078 to 1463 of the family's 3401-position model. The record is from RNAcentral.
AUUUGAAGGAUACUUAGGUGAUCUUUCAAUACAUUUGAAUAUAAAGUUCUUAGUGGGCCAUUUUUGGUAAGCAGAACUGGCGAUGUGGGAUGAACCGAACGUUAAGUUAAAGUGCCAAAUAAUACGCUCAUGAGAUACCAUAAAAGGUGUUGGUUCAUUUUGACAGCAGGACGGUGGCCAUGGAAGUCGGAACCCGCUAAGGAGUGUGUAACAACUCACCUGCCGAAUGAACUAGCCCUGAAAAUGGAUGGCGCUUAAGCGUAUAACUUAUACUUAACCCUUACUUGAAUCAUUAUAGCGAGUAAGGAGUAGGAGGGCGUAAAGUUUCUAUUAUAUUGGCUGUUAAGCAUCUAAGCGUAAGCUUAUGUGGAGCAAAACUUUAGUGUAGAUCUUGGUGGUAGUAG